RNAcentral lists this ribosomal RNA (460 nucleotides) under uncultured bacterium. RNAcentral's name for it is "partial 16S ribosomal RNA". It matches the Rfam family "Bacterial small subunit ribosomal RNA", at positions 338 to 795 of the family's 1533-position model. The record is from RNAcentral.
CCUACGGGUGGCAGCAGUGAGGAAUAUUAGUCAAUGGGCGCGAGCCUGAACCAGCCAAGUCGCGUGAGGGAAGACGGUCCUAUGGAUUGUAAACUUCUUUUAUAUGGGAAUAAAAUGUUCCACGUGUGGGAUUUUGUAUGUACCAUAUGAAUAAGGAUCGGCUAACUCCGUGCCAGCAGCCGCGGUAAUACGGAGGAUCCGAGCGUUAUCCGGAUUUAUUGGGUUUAAAGGGAGCGUAGGUGGAUUGUUAAGUCAGUUGUGAAAGUUUGCGGCUCAACCGUAAAAUUGCAGUUGAAACUGGCAGUCUUGAGUACAGUAGAGGUGGGCGGAAUUCGUGGUGUAGCGGUGAAAUGCUUAGAUAUCACGAAGAACUCCGAUUGCGAAGGCAGCUCACUGGACUGCAACUGACACUGAGGCUCGAAAGUGUGGGUAUCAAACAGGAUUAGAUACCCGUGUAGUC